UACAGAGGGUGCAAGCGUUAAUCGGAAUUACUGGGCGUAAAGCGUGCGUAGACGGUUAUGUAAGUCAGAUGUGAAAGCCCCGGGCUUAACCUGGGAAUGGCAUUUGAGACUGCAUAGCUAGGGUGCGGAAGAGGGAAGCGGAAUUUCCGGUGUAGCGGUGAAAUGCGUAGAUAUCGGAAGGAACACCCGUGGCUAAGGCGGCUCUCUAGUACGGUACUGACGCUGAGACGCGAAAGCGUGGGGAGCGAACAGG
Molecule: ribosomal RNA, 253 nt
Filed under: uncultured bacterium
Lineage: Bacteria
Description: partial 16S ribosomal RNA
Rfam family: Bacterial small subunit ribosomal RNA
Source: RNAcentral